UGGGGAAUCUUGGACAAUGGGCGCAAGCCUGAUCCAGCCAUGCCGCGUGAGUGAUGAAGGCCCUAGGGUUGUAAAACUCUUUCGUGGGGGACGAUAAUGACGGUACCCCAAGAAGAAGCUCCGGCUAACUUCGUGCCAGCAGCCGCGGUAAUACGAAGGGACCAAGCGUUGUUCGGAUUUACUGGGCGUAAAGGGCGCGUAGGCGGCGUGGUAAGUCAUCUGUGAAAUCUCCGAGCUUAACUCGGAACGGUCAGAUGAUACUGCUGUGCUAGAGUACAGAAAGGGCAAUCGGAAUUCUUGGUGUAGCGGUGAAAUGCGUAGAUAUCAAGAGGAACACCUGAGGCGAAGGCGGGUUGCUAGGCUGAUACUGACGCUGAGGCGCGAAAGCCAGGGGAGCGAACGGGAUUAGAUACCCAAGUAGUCCCUGAGCGGGCUGGCAAGGCGCAU
This 447-nucleotide ribosomal RNA is filed under the name uncultured bacterium. RNAcentral describes it as "bacterial SSU rRNA". It matches the Rfam family "Bacterial small subunit ribosomal RNA", at positions 355 to 825 of the family's 1533-position model. The record is from RNAcentral.